This 398-nucleotide ribosomal RNA is filed under the name uncultured bacterium. RNAcentral describes it as "partial 16S ribosomal RNA". It matches the Rfam family "Bacterial small subunit ribosomal RNA", at positions 523 to 918 of the family's 1533-position model. The record is from RNAcentral.
AUACGUAGGGUGCGAGCGUUGUCCGGAAUUACUGGGCGUAAAGAGCUCGUAGGUGGUUUGUCGCGUCGUCUGUGAAAUUCCGGGGCUUAACUCCGGGCGUGCAGGCGAUACGGGCAUAACUUGAGUACUGUAGGGGAGACUGGAAUUCCUGGUGUAGCGGGGAAAUGCGCAGAUAUCAGGAGGAACACCGGUGGCGAAGGGGGUUGUCUGGGCGGUAACUGACGCUGAGGAGCGAAAGCAUGGGUAGCGAACAGGAUUAGAUACCCUGGUAGUCCAUGCCGUAAACGGUGGGCGCUAGGUGUAGGGGUCUUCCACGACUUCUGUGCCGUAGCUAACGCAUUAAGCGCCCCGCCUGGGGAGUACGGCCGCAAGGCUAAAACUCAAAUGAAUUGACGGGG